Lolium rigidum is the source of this 457-nucleotide long non-coding RNA. RefSeq lists it as uncharacterized. NCBI's taxonomy places the organism in Eukaryota, Viridiplantae, Streptophyta, Magnoliopsida, Poales, Poaceae. The transcript has 3 exons. The record is from RefSeq and is a predicted model, not a curated record.
UCGUCGGCGCGGCCCUUCCCCGUAAAUACUCCCUCCUCCAGCGCCGCGUCUGCAUCCAUAGAUAGUUCUAUCUAUCUAUCAGUGAGCCCUGAUGGAUAAAGGAACCAGUCAAGAACGGUCCGUCAGGAACAAGAGGGAUGCUUCCAGUAGGGUGGAGGAGAAAUCGAAGGUAGCAGCGAUGCAGCUUCAGCUUCUACCCCCUGACGUUCUGCGGCACAUACUAUCACGGUUAUCACUCAAAGAAGUGGUGAGGUUGAGUACACUUUCUCAUGAAUGGAUACGGUUAAGGAUCUGCCAUCCAGACCUGGUGCUCACCCAAAAGACCUUCUUUGGCAAAACUGUGGCAUGGCGUACUUACCAGCAUCCGGAGACUACCAAAUUCAUCACCAAAGUAGACAAGCUAUUGCGUCCACUAUGGUCUACUUCGACUGCAACUACCACUACACUUGAUAAGUUU